This 497-nucleotide ribosomal RNA is filed under the name uncultured bacterium. Its description in RNAcentral is "partial 16S ribosomal RNA". It matches the Rfam family "Bacterial small subunit ribosomal RNA", at positions 28 to 507 of the family's 1533-position model. The record is from RNAcentral.
GAUGAACGCUGGCGGCGUGCCUAAUACAUGCAAGUCGAGCGAACAGACGAGGAGCUUGCUCCUUUGACGUUAGCGGCGGACGGGUGAGUAACACGUAGGUAACCUACCUAUAAGACUGGGAUAACUUCGGGAAACCGGAGCUAAUACCGGAUAAUAUUUCGAACCGCAUGGUUCGAUAGUGAAAGAUGGCUUUGCUAUCACUUAUAGAUGGACCUGCGCCGUAUUAGCUAGUUGGUAAGGUAACGGCUUACCAAGGCAACGAUACGUAGCCGACCUGAGAGGGUGAUCGGCCAAACUGGAACUGAGACACGGUCCAGACUCCUACGGGAGGCAGCAGUAGGGAAUCUUCCGCAAUGGGCGAAAGCCUGACGGAGCAACGCCGCGUGAGUGAUGAAGGUCUUCGGAUCGUAAAACUCUGUUAUUAGGGAAGAACAAACGUGUAAGUAACUGUGCACGUCUUGACGGUACCUAAUCAGAAAGCCACGGCUAACUACGUG